AAUGAAUGAUGACAACGUGUUUCGGUCCCAUAUGAAACCAUGAUUAUUAUUUUUCCCAGUGCUGACAUU
Molecule: small nucleolar RNA, 69 nt
Organism: Euleptes europaea (tarantolino)
Lineage: Eukaryota; Metazoa; Chordata; Lepidosauria; Squamata; Sphaerodactylidae
Product: small nucleolar RNA SNORD73
Exons: 1
Source: RefSeq, a predicted model, not a curated record